AAUAGAUACCCUGGUAGUCCACGCCGUAAACGAUGAGUGCUAAGUGUUAGAGGGUUUCCGCCCUUUAGUGCUGCAGCUAACGCAUUAAGCACUCCGCCUGGGGAGUACGGCCGCAAGGCUGAAACUCAAAGGAAUUGACGGGGGCCCGCACAAGCGGUGGAGCAUGUGGUUUAAUUCGAAGCAACGCGAAGAAUCUUACCAGGUCUUGACAUCCUCUGCCAACCCUAGAGAUAGGGUGUUCCCCUUCGGGGGACAGAGUGACAGGUGGUGCAUGGUUGUCGUCAGCUCGUGUCGUGAGAUGUUGGGUUAAGUCCCGCAACGAGCGCAACCCUUGAUCUUAGUUGCCAGCAUUUAGUUGGGCACUCUAAGGUGACUGCCGGUGACAAACCGGAGGAAGGUGGGGAUGACGUCAAAUCAUCAUGCCCCUUAUGACCUGGGCUACACACGUGCUACAAUGGAUGGUACAAAGAGCUGCGAACCCGCGAGGGUAAGCCAAUCUCAUAAAGCCAUUCUCAGUUCGGAUUGUAGG
This 529-nucleotide ribosomal RNA is filed under the name uncultured bacterium. Its description in RNAcentral is "bacterial SSU rRNA". It matches the Rfam family "Bacterial small subunit ribosomal RNA", at positions 777 to 1304 of the family's 1533-position model. The record is from RNAcentral.